This 468-nucleotide ribosomal RNA is filed under the name uncultured bacterium. RNAcentral describes it as "partial 16S ribosomal RNA". It matches the Rfam family "Bacterial small subunit ribosomal RNA", at positions 28 to 507 of the family's 1533-position model. The record is from RNAcentral.
GACGAACGCUGGCGGCGUGCUUAACACAUGCAAGUCGAACGGAAAGGCCCUGCUUUUGUGGGGUGCUCGAGUGGCGAACGGGUGAGUAACACGUGAGUAACCUGCCCUUGACUUUGGGAUAACUUCAGGAAACUGGGGCUAAUACCGGAUAGGAGCUCCUGCUGCAUGGUGGGGGUUGGAAAGUUUCGGCGGUUGGGGAUGGACUCGCGGCUUAUCAGCUUGUUGGUGGGGUAGUGGCUUACCAAGGCUUUGACGGGUAGCCGGCCUGAGAGGGUGACCGGCCACAUUGGGACUGAGGUACGGGCCAGACUCCUACGGGGGGCAGAAGGGGGGAAUAUUGCACAAUGGGCGGAAGCCUGAUGCAGCAACGCCGGGUGCGGGAUGACGGCCUUCGGGGUGUAAACCGCUUUCGCCUGUGACGAAGCGGGAGUGAAGGUAAUGGGUAAAGAAGGACCGGCUAACUACGUG